This 71-nucleotide transfer RNA is filed under the name Candidatus Woesearchaeota archaeon CG10_big_fil_rev_8_21_14_0_10_36_11. Its description in RNAcentral is "tRNA-His". It matches the Rfam family "tRNA". From Rfam's summary of the family: Transfer RNA (tRNA) molecules are approximately 80 nucleotides in length. Their secondary structure includes four short double-helical elements and three loops (D, anti-codon, and T loops). Lineage: Archaea; Nanobdellati; Candidatus Woesearchaeota. The record is from RNAcentral.
CUUGCGGUAGUGUAGUGGUAGCAUAGUUGCCUGUGGAGCAACUGGCGCGGGUUCAAUUCCCGCCCGCAGGC